GAUCAUGGCUCAGGAUGAACGCUAGCGACAGGCUAACACAUGCAAGGUCGAGGGGCAGCAUAAAAGUAGCAAUACUUGGUGGCGACCGGCGCACGGGUGAGUAACGCGUAUGCAACCUACCUAUCAGAGGGAAAUAACCCGGCGAAAGUCGGACUAAUACCGCAUAAAACAGGGGCACCGCAUGGUGAUAUUUGUUAAAGAAAUUCGCUGAUAGAUGGGCAUGCGUUCCAUUAGGUAGUUGGUGAGGUAACGGCUCACCAAGCCGACGAUGGAUAGGGAACUGAGAGGUUGGUCCCCCACACUGGUACUGAGACACGGACCAGACUCCUACGGGAGGCAGCAGUGAGGAAUAUUGGUCAAUGGGCGGGAGCCUGAACCAGCCAAGUCGCGUGAAGGAAGAAGGAUCUAUGGUUCGUAAACUUCUUUUGCAGGGGAAUAAAGUGCAGGACGUGUCCUGUUUUGUAUGUACCCUGAGAAUAAGGAUCGGCUAACUCCGUGCCAGCCGCCGC
RNAcentral lists this ribosomal RNA (509 nucleotides) under uncultured bacterium. RNAcentral's name for it is "bacterial SSU rRNA". It matches the Rfam family "Bacterial small subunit ribosomal RNA", at positions 15 to 518 of the family's 1533-position model. The record is from RNAcentral.